Non-coding RNA from Pelobates cultripes (western spadefoot toad), 306 nucleotides. The record is from the annotation of a GenBank genome assembly. Lineage: Eukaryota; Metazoa; Chordata; Amphibia; Anura; Pelobatidae.
AAAUUACUAGAGCAUGGACAAGCUCCUUGGUAGUAUCUGGUGCAAGAAAGGGGCGAAUGCGGGCUAUGUUUUUAAGAUGGAAUCUACAGGAUUUGGCAACAUGCUGGAUGUGAGGCUCAAAGGUGAGGCCAGAAUCAAGUAUGACGCCAAGACAGCGCGCUUGCAAGGAUGGACUGAUGUGGGUACCACAAACUUGAAGGGAGAGCGAAAGAGGAGGAUCAGUAUUAGGAGGAGGAAAGACAAGGAGCUCAGUUUUAGAGAGAUUGAGUUUCAGAAAGCGGGAGGACAUCCAGUCAGAGAUGGAAG